RNAcentral lists this ribosomal RNA (538 nucleotides) under uncultured archaeon. RNAcentral's name for it is "bacterial SSU rRNA". It matches the Rfam family "Archaeal small subunit ribosomal RNA", at positions 457 to 997 of the family's 1478-position model. The record is from RNAcentral.
GGCAGCCGCCGCGGUAACACGGCGGCCCGAGUGGUGAUCGUGAUUAUUGGGUCUAAAGGGUCCGUAGCCGGUUUGGUCAGUCCUCCGGGAAAUCUGAUAGCUCAACUAUAGGCUUCGGGGGAUACUGCCAGACUUGGAACCGGGAGAGGUAAGAGGUACUACAGGGGUAGGAGUGAAAUCUUGUAAUCCCUGUGGGACCACCUGUGGCGAAGGCGUCUUACCAGAACGGGUUCGACGGUGAGGACGAAAGCUGGGGGCACGAACCGGAUUAGAUACCCGGGUAGUCCCAGCCGUAAACGAUGCUCGCUAGGUGUCAGGCAUGGCGCGACCGUGUCUGGUGCCGCAGGGAAGCCGUGAAGCGAGCCACCUGGGAAGUACGGCCGCAAGGCUGAAACUUAAAGGAAUUGGGCGGGGGAGCACAACAACGGGUGGAGCCCUGCGGUUUAAUUGGACUCAACGCCGGACAACUCACCGGGGCGACAGCAAUAUGUAGGCCAAGCUGAAGACUUUGCCUGAAUCGCUGAGAAGUGGUGCAUGG